This is a long non-coding RNA of Ailuropoda melanoleuca (giant panda), 882 nucleotides long. RefSeq lists it as uncharacterized. The record is from RefSeq and is a predicted model, not a curated record. The transcript is spliced from 3 exons. NCBI's taxonomy places the organism in Eukaryota, Metazoa, Chordata, Mammalia, Carnivora, Ursidae.
UGACGGUGGUGAUGACAAUCCAUAUUCCUGUCCUUAUCAAAAAGAAGACAAGCCGGUAACAGACAGGGACACCCGAGGACGAGUUGGAUGAGCUCCAAGGUGUGUGUCCCUGUUUCUCGGGUCUUCUUGGGGCUGGGUUUCCAGUGGGACAGAAGGCAGGGCUGGACUCUUGGCUGAAGUCUACAGUGACCUCAGAGAGCCCCUUGUUCUCCUGCUCCUUUGGGAAGGUUCUCCAAGGCAGGACCACCCAGCAUGCAGAUGGCAUUUAAACUUUCCAGGCUUGGGAGAGAGAAGUCAGCCAGACGGGGGCCCUGGGCCCUCAGCUCCUGUGAGCGGACAACCUGAGAUCAGUGAGCUCUCUUUGGCAUUGAACUUUCAGUCUGAGUAUUCGGAGCAAUUCCAAAAGGCUCUCCCAGUGUUUGCAUGGGUAUUCUCUUUACAACUAUUCGUUCCACUACAAUCAUUUUUCUCUUUGUUCCCAAACUGGAGCCCUUUAAUAUCUCUCAUAAGAAAGGAAGAAGCAUGGUUAUUCUGCUAAUCCUAUGAUUGUGACGGGUACGCAGCCAAGUCCAGCCCUUCCACUGACAGAGAGAGAAGCCCAAGCUCAGAGACGGGGCGUGACUUGCUCUCGAACACACAGUGAUAAAUCAAUGAAGGGGCAAAAAAUUCAAGCCACCAACAUCAAAGCGAUGAGAGCUGACAUAUGCUUCCAAGGACCCUGAUAUGACUGGGGUCAUUCGAAGAUCUAGUUUCUGAAGAGCUCGUUUAGACUAUCAGGAAAAUGUGAACCUGCUCUUCAUCUGCAAUCAGCCGGAUCGGGAACUGAGAGAUCAAGAGAGCGAGAGAGAACAAACAGGGAGAGCAGCAGAUGGAAAGGGAGAA